Molecule: long non-coding RNA, 1291 nt
Filed under: Helianthus annuus (common sunflower)
Lineage: Eukaryota; Viridiplantae; Streptophyta; Magnoliopsida; Asterales; Asteraceae
Source: RNAcentral
CUUAAUUUUAAGAUGGCAGAUCAAGAGUCUUGCUUCUUCCCUGAUCUUUCCUCCAUUUCUCCCAAUUUUACCCUCAAUUCAUUGUCAGUCGCCCACAAAUAAGUCUUGAGCCGAUCAAAAAUGCUUAGAUGAUUCAAACCGUCAGCGCAAUUACUAAUUCAAUCAAUUAGGUUUCAUGUGGUCAUUGCCCUAUUCAAUGGUAUUGAAGGUGAUUGAAUGUUGCAGUUGAGGCGUUCGUGCGUUUCUAUCCUACCCAACCAAGCUUCCUGCGAAUUUUAGGUUAUAACAGGCAUUGAAGAUGAUUGAAUUUUUCAUGCGUCAAGCGCUGAUUACGCUCUUCUUCUACCAACGGUCAUUGAGUAAUUGAAGACGAUCACGUGGUGAACACAGAGAAUAGCAUGAUUGCACAAUAUCGUAUCGUACCGGUUCCGUAGGAACUAGGAAGCAACCAUUUUGAAGGGUAAGUCAACCAUCUACUUCUAAUCAGAUUGCAAAAAUGGCUUGUAUGGAAUUGGGAUCCAAAGCAGAUGCGUUUCAGAAAAAAGGCCAAGCUUGGUAUGUUCUUUAAUCUCUGGUAAACUUGUUAUGCGUUCUGGUCUGUUGAGUACAUAUUGAUAUAACUAAUUGUAUAUGUGUAUGUGUGUGUAAUGUGCAUAUGCAACAUGAUGGAGUAUGAUGCUGUGACUUUUGUGGUUAUGAAUUUCUUGAUGAUAUGUGGAUUUUAGCUGGUUAUCUUUAUCCAAUAUAGUUUCAUUUGCUUUCAAGAAGUGGGGUUAUGGAAAAAAUGAUAGCAGAUGCAUCUGAGAAAACAGAAUUGGGAUGCAACUUGAUCAGGCAACCCUUGAAGAUUUAUUAAUGCCGAAUUUUUCUUAUUCGAUGGAAACGUUGUAUAAUUUUGAAUGCGUGCUGAGGAUGGUUCAACAUUUUAUGGCUAUUGAUCAAGCAACAGCUAAUUGACAGUUACUUGGUGGAAGUUGCACCCGAUGUUAAUUUAAAGCUUACAAAGUUCAUGGCUCUUGCUGAGGCUGUUCCCGAGUAAGCUAGACCGAUGGAUGAUGGCUUGUAUUGUAUCAACCAGUUCUAAUAUGUUUCCUCUUUCUUGUAAAACAUAUGCCAACACAGCAAACAAUCAUGUUACAGUUUUGACUUUUUGGGUCAAAGAAUGCUUGUAUUGUGUUGGCAUUUAUUUUAAAAGGUAUAAUACAGUUCACUGAAGGGGUGUUUGAAUGUGUGUUUUAGAAGUGAUUAUGUGAAUCCAAAACUCCCCAAAAAGUUAAAAUGUUUGUUAAAG